Molecule: ribosomal RNA, 497 nt
Filed under: uncultured bacterium
Lineage: Bacteria
Description: partial 16S ribosomal RNA
Rfam family: Bacterial small subunit ribosomal RNA
Source: RNAcentral
GAUGAACGCUGGCGGCGUGCCUAAUACAUGCAAGUCGAGCGAGCAGACGAGGAGCUUGCUCCUCUGACGUUAGCGGCGGACGGGUGAGUAACACGUGGAUAACCUACCUAUAAGACUGGGAUAACUUCGGGAAACCGGAGCUAAUACCGGAUAAUAUAUUGAACCGCAUGGUUCAAUAGUGAAAGACGGUUUUGCUGUCACUUAUAGAUGGAUCCGCGCCGCAUUAGCUAGUUGGUAAGGUAACGGCUUACCAAGGCAACGAUGCGUAGCCGACCUGAGAGGGUGAUCGGCCACACUGGAACUGCGACACGGUCCAGACUCCUACGGGAGGCAGCAGUAGGGAAUCUUCCGCAAUGGGCGAAAGCUUGACGGAGCAACGCCGCGUGAGUGAUGAAGGUCUUCGGAUCGUAAAACUCUGUUAUUAGGGAAGAACAAAUGUGUAAGUAACUAUGCACGUCUUGACGGUACCUAAUCAGAAAGCCACGGCUAACUACGUG